Molecule: ribosomal RNA, 305 nt
Filed under: uncultured bacterium
Lineage: Bacteria
Description: bacterial SSU rRNA
Rfam family: Bacterial small subunit ribosomal RNA
Source: RNAcentral
ACCUACGGGACGCAGCAGUGAGGAAUAUUGGUCAAUGGGCUUACGCCUGAACCAGCCAAGUCGCGUGAGGGAAGACUGCCCUAUGGGUUGUAAACCUCUUUUGUCAGGGAGCAACGCCGGCUACGUGUAGCCGGACUGAGAGUACCUGAAGAAAAAGCAUCGGCUAACUCCGUGCCAGCAGCCGCGGUAAUACGGAGGAUGCGAGCGUUAUCCGGAUUUAUUGGGUUUAAAGGGUGCGUAGGCGGAAUGCCAAGUCAGCGGUAAAAUCGCGGGGCUCAACCUCGCUUCGCCGUUGAAACUGGCGU